AAAAAAUGAUUUACGAAUAUAUCAUUUGAGACAAAUCCCUAUUUCCCUUCUUCUAUCGAAAUUGUGACAAAUUCCUCUUUCUGUCUUCUUCUGACAUCGAAAUUGAAAAUUACAUAGCUAUAUUGAAGGUUUUAUCCAAGGAACAGAAACACCUCGAAACAUAUACAACAAUUUUUUUUUUCAUGGAGAUCUCAUUUUCAGCUACAAUACGACAGAGAGGGAGGUACUGCGUUUCACCGUCCCCCUGGGUCCGACGGUUGUCUUCCGGAAGAUACCGUUUCCAAACUCAAGAUUGUUACGAUAGCUGCACAUUUGGCCCGAUUCACAUGAACCGUAUCUUAGGAUGGGCUAUUUACUUCUUGUAGCAAAUAGUAACAGAAAUAUUUGCCACCGAGGGUACUCGUGUAGCAAAUAGUGUGUUGGCAGAAGGAGAAUGUUGGGUUCAAUCUUCUAAUGAGAACCGUGAACGCAAUGACUGAGAGCUUGGUGGAUGACAAUCCAAUAGUCAACGUGAAGUUGGAAAACAAUGGGAAUUAUUAGGUGAAUUUUAUAACAAAGACUUUGAUUGAAAAUACGUGUUUUUGGCAUGGUGUUUUCGCUGGUUCAUACCAUGUUGGAUAUAUUUUCGACUAUACACGGCUGUAUUCACAAACUCCGCCCAAAAUCUCUUUGGCAGCCCUUUCUCGUUCAUCAUGGAUAUUGUCAUUUCCACAAUUGUCCGAUUCUUCUUUUCGGUUAUCCCGUUUUGCUGGGGACUGUAACAUGCUGUCAAUUGCUUCCAAAUACCUUCAUUUUUGCAAUAUUCGACGAACUCCUUAGAGGUA
This is a non-coding RNA of Erythranthe guttata (spotted monkey flower), 824 nucleotides long. Lineage: Eukaryota; Viridiplantae; Streptophyta; Magnoliopsida; Lamiales; Phrymaceae. The record is from RefSeq and is a predicted model, not a curated record.